Long non-coding RNA from Chlorocebus sabaeus (green monkey), 972 nucleotides. RefSeq lists it as uncharacterized. The record is from RefSeq and is a predicted model, not a curated record. NCBI's taxonomy places the organism in Eukaryota, Metazoa, Chordata, Mammalia, Primates, Cercopithecidae.
UACAAGCAUCUGAUGAGUGAGUGUCUAGGUUAUAGAAACAGAGAUACCCUCUUUCCACUGUAAUAUUUCUGUUGAUAGGCUCUGUUUAGAAGAUUAAUUAUUAAUGUCAUCAUUCAUGAAUUACAGGGAAUGAAAAACAGGAGAAAGGGAAGCAGAGAAGGAUGUGCUAAUGUUACGAUGUUUUAUAACAUUUUCAAACCCUAAGUUCUUCCACCAAUCGGACCAUGUCACUUAAAUUUAAGGCUCUAAUAACAUUGGCUUACAGAAAUAUUUUCACUUGUAUGACUUCACUCGUCCUUGAUGCCAGAGUUCAAAAGGGUGUAUAAAUAAGACAGGAGGAGGGACACAUUAUCACAGACCAAUAACAAUGACAACAAAAGUACCUCAAAGCUCUUAACAAGUAUAAAGCUAGAAAUGAUCUGAGGCUUGUGAAAAAUACUGAUUAACACAAAAAUGAUUUUAAAAGCAAUAUUCAGAAAAAGUAGAGUAAUGGAGACCUGGUCCUGGCACAGAUGGUGUUACCUUAAAAAUAUAUCACAGAGAAUGUAUAAUUAUUGACUGUAUUUAUAUCUUCUCUAUCCAAGAUCUUCACAUUUGAAAGGAGCAGACAAACAUCACCAGUAUGAUGGGACUGAAGCCCAAGAUUGGUAACGUGAUGGAUUUGCAGAAAGAACCAACAACUCCUACAGAUGAUGACAGUUCUCAUUCUAACACUAUCUGUGUUGUAACAAAGCCACUGGUUAAAUAAUGAGUCCAGAUAAAAAUGAUGUGAUAUCGUGAAGUCAUCUUCUUCAGAUUCGUAUUUGGGCAAGCUUCCAAAGGAUUUCCUAAGGCCAAAUCUAAAAUAGCGAAGAGGAAAAUACAUAAAUUUAUCCUUUAAUAAUUGUAUUCCCAGGAAAGUCCUAUCUUUGGACUUAAAUUACUAGGAAAUUAUUCUAAUUGUUUCAAUAAAAGAACUGUUGUUAAAAAUAA